RNAcentral lists this long non-coding RNA (280 nucleotides) under Medicago truncatula (barrel medic). Its description in RNAcentral is "lncRNA gene18962". The record is from RNAcentral. Lineage: Eukaryota; Viridiplantae; Streptophyta; Magnoliopsida; Fabales; Fabaceae.
AGUAAAAUUUCGCUGCUGUAGUGGUAAGGGGGUGCUAGAAAUUGCCUAGGGUCGCGGGUUCAACCCUCCCCAGUCUUCUUUUAUUACAUAUUUACUUGAACCCAUGUUCUCUUCCUACUUUCAAACAAUUCAUACCACUAGGCCAAUUAUUAAUUAUUGAUAUAACUUGAAACCAUUUAAUAUAUAUUCCAUAGAAAUUUGGCACCCCCAAGAAUUUAACUCAAGAUCCGCCACUGACCACAUUCAUAGCAUAAAAUUGUGACUUAUCAAUCAAGGUAAA